CCUACGGGUGGCAGCAGUGAGGAAUAUUGGUCAAUGGACGAGAGUCUGAACCAGCCAAGUAGCGUGAAGGAUGACUGCCCUAUGGGUUGUAAACUUCUUUUAUAUGGGAAUAAAAUGUUCCACGUGUGGGAUUUUGUAUGUACCAUAUGAAUAAGGAUCGGCUAACUCCGUGCCAGCAGCCGCGGUAAUACGGAGGAUCCGAGCGUGAUCCGGAUUUAUUGGGUGUAAAGGGAGCGUAGGUGGAUUGUUAAGUCAGUUGUGAAAGUUUGCGGCUAAACCGUAAAAUUGCAGUUGAAACUGGCAGUCUUGAGUACAGUAGAGGUGGGCGGAAUUCGGGGUGUAGCGGUGAAAUGCUUAGAUAGCACGAAGAACUCCGAUGGCGAAGGCAGUUCACUGGACUGCAACUGACACUGAGGCUCGAAAGUGUGGGUAUCAAACAGGAUUAGAUACCCGAGUAGUC
RNAcentral lists this ribosomal RNA (460 nucleotides) under uncultured bacterium. RNAcentral's name for it is "partial 16S ribosomal RNA". It matches the Rfam family "Bacterial small subunit ribosomal RNA", at positions 338 to 795 of the family's 1533-position model. The record is from RNAcentral.